GUGCCAAGAGACGCGGUCGCUGCUCUGUUGUCAAUGUUUGUGUGGAUGAGGGAACAUCAUCAGGAUAUUUUGCAACCAAGGUAAUUUAUAAUUCUCCUUCCAAGCUGCUGGAAGUCAGGAUGGAGCUGUGCACACUCAGGACAUUUGCUCGCUCCGGAGAUUGAAUAUUCUGCCUGCACUUGAUUCACUGAAGAAAAUGAAAUGCAAAAUAAGCAGGGAGAGAAGAGCUAUAGUGCCAGGAGCUGCUUCCCGGGGAAACUACUGAACAUCUGAGGAGCUUCUGGAUGGAGGACACCAGGAUCCACACCACAGCCUGUGCCAGAGGGCAUGGCUGGGGGGGAGUCCUGGCACCAGCACAGGUUUCAGAAGAUGACAGAAACUUGCCCAGACUCCAGUUAACAGGAGCAGAAGGCACAGCCACCCUGUUUGAUGUCUGUGACAAAAAGCCUGGGAUGAAGGACAAAAUCAUCAAAAAUCAAUAGCUUCAAAAUCUCUGCCUUUCAAAAAAAGAUUUAAAACCAGCCUCCCCCUGUCUCUUCCUUUGAGGUUGUGCUGAAAGGCUUUGUUUUAAGGGAUGCCAUUUUCAAAGAGGAGCAGGAGAAAGCUGGGAAAAAAAGAGUUGAAAUUAUUUUCCCAGUUCAGUUGUUCCAUAGAGGAGCAUUAUGAGGGAAAACUGGCUUCAAAGGACAGGGAAAGCAAGAGAAAUAAAAGCAUUUCUUUCUCCA
RNAcentral lists this long non-coding RNA (725 nucleotides) under Manacus vitellinus (golden-collared manakin). Its description in RNAcentral is "lncRNA (ENSMVIG00005013317.1)". Lineage: Eukaryota; Metazoa; Chordata; Aves; Passeriformes; Pipridae. The record is from RNAcentral.